This 258-nucleotide long non-coding RNA is filed under the name Carica papaya (papaya). RNAcentral's name for it is "long non-coding RNA (CPAP_LNC016264)". Lineage: Eukaryota; Viridiplantae; Streptophyta; Magnoliopsida; Brassicales; Caricaceae. The record is from RNAcentral.
CUCCUUGGCUUGUUUUUCGAUACUGAAUCCGCCUAUGGCCAAAUUGGAGCCAAACCACCGGCCAGUCGGCCGAAAAAUACUGCUGAAGUCUAGCGGCACUGCCGCGACUUACCUUAGUUUUUGCCUCCGAUGAGGCCCUUUCCGGUUCUCGUUCAAUGCAAUUUUUACACCACUGUGAUCACCGUCCUUUUCUCUAUAGGUUGAUUGGAGCAAAACAUCAAACCGUGACUCGCGCUGGAGAAGCACCCCAACCGAGAG